RNAcentral lists this ribosomal RNA (465 nucleotides) under uncultured Klebsiella sp. RNAcentral describes it as "bacterial SSU rRNA". It matches the Rfam family "Bacterial small subunit ribosomal RNA", at positions 338 to 795 of the family's 1533-position model. Lineage: Bacteria; Pseudomonadati; Pseudomonadota; Gammaproteobacteria; Enterobacterales; Enterobacteriaceae. The record is from RNAcentral.
CCUACGGGUGGCUGCAGUGGGGAAUAUUGCACAAUGGGCGCAAGCCUGAUGCAGCCAUGCCGCGUGUGUGCAGAAGGCCUUCGGGUUGUAAAGCACUUUCAGCGGGGAGGAAGGCGUUAAGGUCAAUAACCUUGUCGAUUGACGUUACCCGCAGAAGAAGCACCGGCUAACUCCGUGCCAGCAGCCGCGGUAAUACGGAGGGUGCAAGCGUUAAUCGGAAUUACUGGGCGUAAAGCGCACGCAGGCGGUCUGUCAAGUCGGAUGUGAAAUCCCCGGGCUCAACCUGGGAACUGCAUUCGAAACUGGCAGGCUAGAGUCUUGUAGAGGGGGGUAGAAUUCCAGGUGUAGCGGUGAAAUGCGUAGAGAUCUGGAGGAAUACCGGUGGCGAAGGCGGCCCCCUGGACAAAGACUGACGCUCAGGUGCGAAAGCGUGGGGAGCAAACAGGAUUAGAUACCCUAGUAGUC